ACCCCAAUGACACUAUGAUUGGACCAAAAAUGGUUCUUUCACAAUUUGAUAGGAAUCUAUUCAUCUUUUUCAAUAGAAUUACAGAGCCCUUUCGUGUGAUUACAUAU
Molecule: non-coding RNA, 107 nt
Organism: Cucumis melo (muskmelon)
Lineage: Eukaryota; Viridiplantae; Streptophyta; Magnoliopsida; Cucurbitales; Cucurbitaceae
Source: Rfam